This 1020-nucleotide ribosomal RNA is filed under the name Triticum aestivum (bread wheat). RNAcentral describes it as "partial small subunit ribosomal RNA". Lineage: Eukaryota; Viridiplantae; Streptophyta; Magnoliopsida; Poales; Poaceae. The record is from RNAcentral.
AUGAAUGCUUUCUCCCAUGUCCCCCCUGGUUUCCGUUUCCACCCCACUGAUGAGGAGCUGGUGGAUUACUACCUGAGGAAGAAGGUGCAAUUGAAGAGGAUUGGCUUAGACAUUAUAAAAGACGUUGAUUUGUACAAAAUCGAACCUUGGGAUCUACAAGAACGAUGCAAGAUCGGAACGGAAGACCAGAACGACUGGUUCUUCUUCAGCCACAAGGACAAGAAGUAUCCCACCGGCACUCGCACUAACAGAGCAACUACUGCUGGUUUCUGGAAGGCUACCGGCCGGGACAAGCCGAUCUACGUGAAGCACUGCCUCGUGGGGAUGAGGAAGACGCUGGUUUUCUACAAGGGCCGGGCUCCCAAUGGGCAGAAGUUGGAUUGGAUCAUGCACGAGUAUCGCCUGGAGACCAACGAAAAUGGAGCUCCCCACGACGAAGGAUGGGUGGUCUGCAAGGUGUUCAAGAAGCGAGUUGCGACGGUGCAGAGAAUGGCCACCGCCGACUCGCCCUUCUGGUUCAAUCACGACCAUGCGGCGUUCAUGGCGCCUCACGUCGACUCGCAGAGGCAGGCAGUGCACCACCUCCAGAACGCGGCGUACCAUCAUGGACACCACCAGAGCUACCACCACCCGUGCAAGGUAGAGCUGGAGUACCAUCAGCUCCUUCCUCAGGAGCCGGCAAGCUUCAUGCAGCUCCCGCAGCUAGGGAUGCCCGGGCUUCCGGACCUGAUCGGCGCCGUAGCUGCCAGUCUCCAGCCGUGCAACCAGACACACGACGGCCAAACUUCUCGGCAGCCUGAGAUCGAGCCGGUUUAUGUGACGGACGCAUCCGCCGGAGAGUGGAGGGAUCUUGACAAAUUCAUGGCGUCCCAACUCAGCCACGACGGCUCAACUCCGAAGGAGUCCAGCGGCUACGCCAAUCCCGCGCUGUCGUUUCAGUCUGAGGGGAAGCACGAAGAGGCCUUGGAUUACGUGUCGGCAUCUGCCUCCAGCGGAGGGGACAAUGGUUUGUGGAAAUAA